This 465-nucleotide ribosomal RNA is filed under the name uncultured bacterium. Its description in RNAcentral is "partial 16S ribosomal RNA". It matches the Rfam family "Bacterial small subunit ribosomal RNA", at positions 28 to 507 of the family's 1533-position model. The record is from RNAcentral.
GAUGAACGCUGGCGGCGUGCUUAACACAUGCAAGUCGAACGGAAAGGCUCCUGCUUGCAGGGGUACUCGAGUGGCGAACGGGUGAGUAACACGUGGGUGAUCUGCCCUGCACUUCUGGAUAAGCCUGGGAAACUGGGUCUAAUACCGGAUAGGACGAUGGUUUGGAUGCCAUUGUUGAAAGUUUUUCGGUGUGGGAUGAGCUCGCGGCCUAUCAGCUUGUUGGUGGGGUAAUGGCCUACCAAGGCGUCGACGGGUAGCCGGCCUGAGAGGGUGUACGGCCACAUUGGGACUGAGAUACGGCCCAGACUCCUACGGGAGGCAGCAGUGGGGAAUAUUGCACAAUGGGCGCAAGCCUGAUGCAGCGACGCCGCGUGGGGGAUGACGGCCUUCGGGUUGUAAACUACUUUCGCUAGGGACGAAGCGCAAGUGACGGUACCUGGAGAAGAAGCACCGGCUAACUACGUG